UUCCUACGGGGGGCAGCAGUGGGGAAUAUUGCACAAUGGGGGAAACCCUGAUGCAGCAACGCCGCGUGAGUGAAGAAGGUUUUCGGAUUGUAAAGCUCUGUUAGCAGGGAAGAGGAAGGACGGUACCUGCAGAGGAAGCCACGGCUACCUACGUGCCAGCAGCCGCGGAAAUACGUAGGUGGCACGCGUUGUUCGGAAUAACUGGGCGUAAAGGAUGCGUAGGCGGUUAAACAAGGUAUAUGUUAAAUAUAUAGACUUAACCUGUAGAAUGCAUAUAAAAAUGUUUAACUAGAGUGAAGGAGAGG
Molecule: ribosomal RNA, 305 nt
Filed under: uncultured bacterium
Lineage: Bacteria
Description: bacterial SSU rRNA
Rfam family: Bacterial small subunit ribosomal RNA
Source: RNAcentral